This 607-nucleotide ribosomal RNA is filed under the name Streptomyces sp. RNAcentral's name for it is "bacterial SSU rRNA". It matches the Rfam family "Bacterial small subunit ribosomal RNA", at positions 28 to 652 of the family's 1533-position model. The record is from RNAcentral. Lineage: Bacteria; Bacillati; Actinomycetota; Actinomycetes; Kitasatosporales; Streptomycetaceae.
GGCAAGGGCGGCGUGCUACACAUGCAGUCGAACGAUGGAUCCACUUCAGUGGGGAUUAGUGGCGAACGGGUGAGUAACACGUGGGCAAUCUGCCCUGCACUCUGGGACAAGCCCUGGAAACGGGGUCUAAUACCGGAUACUGACCAUCGCAGGCAUCUGUGAUGGUCGAAAGCUCCGGCGGUGCAGGAUGAGCCCGCGGCCUAUCAGCUUGUUGGUGAGGUAGUGGCUCACCAAGGCGACGACGGGUAGCCGGCCUGAGAGGGCGACCGGCCACACUGGGACUGAGACACGGCCCAGACUCCUACGGGAGGCAGCAGUGGGGAAUAUUGCACAAUGGGCGAAAGCCUGAUGCAGCGACGCCGCGUGAGGGAUGACGGCCUUCGGGUUGUAAACCUCUUUCAGCAGGGAAGAAGCGAAAGUGACGGUACCUGCAGAAGAAGCGCCGGCUAACUACGUGCCAGCAGCCGCGGUAAUACCUAAGGCGCGAACGUUGUCCGGAAUUAUUGGGCGUAAAGAGCUCGUAUGCGGCUUGUCACGUCUGUUGUGAAAGCCCGGGCGCUUAGCCCCGGGCUCUGCGUGUCUAUACUUGGCAGUGCUAACACUUUGC